GUAUAAAUUUAUAGGCACAGAGGCCCGUUUAUUACAUUCUAUAACAUACAUUGGGGUAUAUGGAGAAACAUAGACCUGAAAAUAAAGAAAGACAGAAAAGUCAAUCUUCAAACCCAAAUGCUAGGCAUUCAGAAAGCUAUCCAGAUCUACAAAAGGUGCACAGGUGGAGAUAUAAAGAUGACAAGUGUGCACAUGCUCCCUAGAGAACCAGCAACAACCCAUCAGGUUUAUUUCAAUAAUGAUCCUUCCGCAGGUUCACCUACGGAAA
RNAcentral lists this unclassified non-coding RNA (268 nucleotides) under uncultured fungus. RNAcentral describes it as "sequence contains ITS1". The record is from RNAcentral. Lineage: Eukaryota; Fungi.